Molecule: ribosomal RNA, 427 nt
Filed under: uncultured bacterium
Lineage: Bacteria
Description: partial 16S ribosomal RNA
Rfam family: Bacterial small subunit ribosomal RNA
Source: RNAcentral
GUGGGGAAUAUUGGGCAAUGGGGGAAACCCUGACCCAGCGACGCCGCGUGAGGGAAGAAGGCCUUAGGGUCGUAAACCUCUGUUGUGUGGGAAGAAGAGCGUGACGGUACCACACGAGGAAGUCCCGGCUAACUACGUGCCAGCAGCCGCGGUAAUACGUAGGGGACGAGCGUUGUCCGGAUUUACUGGGCGUAAAGGGCGCGUAGGCGGUCAUUUAAGUCAGCUGUGAAAUGGUUUGGCUUAACCGGAUCAUGCGGUUGAAACUGGAUGACUGGAGUGCUGGAGAGGCAAGUGGAAUUCCCAGUGUAGCGGUGAAAUGCGUAGAUAUUGGGAAGAACACCAGUGGCGAAGGCGACUUUCUGGACGAUGUCUGACGCUGAGGCGCGAAAGCUAGGGGAGCGAACGGGAUUAGAAACCCGAGUAGUCC